AAACUUUCAACAACGGAUCUCUUGGUUCUGGCAUCGAUGAAGAACGCAGCGAAAUGCGAUAAGUAAUGUGAAUUGCAGAAUUCAGUGAAUCAUCGAAUCUUUGAACGCACACUGCGCCCAUUAGUAUUCUAGUGGGCAUGCCUAUUCGAGCGUCAUUU
RNAcentral lists this ribosomal RNA (158 nucleotides) under Hypoxylon jaklitschii. RNAcentral's name for it is "5.8S ribosomal RNA". It matches the Rfam family "5.8S ribosomal RNA". From Rfam's summary of the family: 5.8S ribosomal RNA (5.8S rRNA) is a component of the large subunit of the eukaryotic ribosome. It is transcribed by RNA polymerase I as part of the 45S precursor that also contains 18S and 28S rRNA. The record is from RNAcentral. Lineage: Eukaryota; Fungi; Ascomycota; Sordariomycetes; Xylariales; Hypoxylaceae.